CUUUGUUACUCAGGAAGGGCAACUGCGGUUCGUUGUUUUCUGAAUUGAGCGUGGUGGAGAUCAAGAAGGCGUCCGCGGCUCCGAGAGAGUGUGUGUCUACUGUGGUCUGCUACCAAAUAAGUAUGAAUUGUAGCCGCCACGCCCCCUGCCUCUUGGAAUGAAGCCACGCCCCCUGAAGGAGAAGCCCCGCCCCCGGAAGAACCUGCCCCGGGUCGGGUAGGUACCGGUCUGUAGGUACAUCUGCUUCCGCUCCCAGUAGUUCAUAUCAUCCCGGGAACGAUUGUCAUGCUGUGUAAGGAAUAUUUUCUCAUUAAUGAAAAGCAAGAGAUGCCAAAUGGCAUAAGGUCGAUCACCUGACACUCAAAGGAACAGAACUGAUUUAAGCAGCUCUUGUGAUCUGUGUCAUUGUUCUGAUCAUAUGACUUCUAGUGUUAACGAGCUACCUUUUAAAAUUUUAACCAGUUA
Molecule: long non-coding RNA, 465 nt
Organism: Dreissena polymorpha
Lineage: Eukaryota; Metazoa; Mollusca; Bivalvia; Myida; Dreissenidae
Exons: 3
Source: RefSeq, a predicted model, not a curated record